Molecule: ribosomal RNA, 281 nt
Filed under: Bacillota bacterium
Lineage: Bacteria; Bacillati; Bacillota
Description: Firmicutes bacterium (hot springs metagenome) partial 23S ribosomal RNA
Rfam family: Bacterial large subunit ribosomal RNA
Source: RNAcentral
CCAAUCUGCCGCAGGCGCUUGGGCACUUGAGGGGGGUUGCUCCUAGUACGAGAGGACCGGAGUGAGGGAACCUCUGGUGUACCAGCUGUUUCACCAGAAGCAGCGCUGGGUAGCCAUGUUCCCAAGCGAUAACCGCUGAAGGCAUCUAAGCGGGAAGCGCGCCCCAAGAUAAGGUGCCCCUGAAGGGCCCUGGUAGAUUACCAGGUUGAUAGGGUGCAGGUGUAAGCGCAGAAAUGCGUUGAGCCGAGCACUACUAAUAGCCCGUUCGGCAUAGCUAUCUU